Molecule: ribosomal RNA, 516 nt
Filed under: uncultured fungus
Lineage: Eukaryota; Fungi
Description: SSU rRNA
Rfam family: Eukaryotic small subunit ribosomal RNA
Source: RNAcentral
AUUAGAUAAAAAACCAAUGCCCUUCGGGGCUGCUUGGUGAUUCAUAAUAACUUCUCGGAUCGCAUGGCCUUGCGCCGGCGACGGUUCAUUCAAAUUUCUGCCCUAUCAACUUUCGAUGGUAAGGUAUUGGCUUACCAUGGUUUCAACGGGUAACGGGGAAUUAGGGUUCGAUUCCGGAGAGCGAGCCUGAGAGACGGCUAGCACAUCCAAGGAAGGCAGCAGGCGCGCAAAUUACCCAAUCCCGACACGGGGAGGUAGUGACAAUAAAUACUGAUACAGGGCUCUUUUGGGUCUUGUAAUUGGAAUGAGUACAAUUUAAACCUCUUAACGAGGAACAAUUGGAGGGCAAGUCUGGUGCCAGCAGCCGCGGUAAUUCCAGCUCCAAUAGCGUAUAUUAAAGUUAUUGCAGUUAAAAAGCUCGUAGUUGAACCUUUGGCCUGGCUGGCAGGUCCGCCUCACCGCGUGCACUUGUCCGGCCGGGCCUUCUCUUCUGGAGAACCGCAUGCCCUUCACUGG